GAUGAAGAACGUAGCAAAAUGCGAUAAGUAAUGUGAAUUGCAGAAUUCAGUGAAUCAUCGAAUCUUUGAACGCACAUUGCGCCCGCCAGUAUUCUGGCGGGCAUGCCUGUUCGAGCGUCAUUUCAACCCUCAAGCACAGCUUGGUGUUGGAACUCGCGUUAAUUCGCGUUCCCCAAAUUGAUUGGCGGUCACGUCGAGCUUCCAUAGCGUAGUAGUAAAACCCUCGUUACUGGUAAUCGUCGCGGCCACGCCGUUAAACCCCAACUUCUGAAUGUUGACCUCGGAUCAGGUAGGAAUACCCGCUGAACUUAAGCAUAUCAAUAAGCGGAGGA
Molecule: unclassified non-coding RNA, 332 nt
Filed under: soil metagenome
Description: partial contains 5.8S ribosomal RNA, internal transcribed spacer 2, and large subunit ribosomal RNA
Rfam family: 5.8S ribosomal RNA (bases 1-120)
Source: RNAcentral